CUACGGGUUGCACCAGCAGGGAAUAUUGCACAAUGGACGGAAGUCUGAUGCAGCGACGCCGCGUGGAUGAUGAAGGCCCUCGGGUUGUAAAAUCCUUUUCAGGGGGACGAGGAAGGACGGUACCCUUGGAAUAAGCGUCGGCUAACUACGUGCCAGCAGCCGCGGUAAGACGUAGGACGCAAGCGUUAUCCGGAUUUACUGGGCGUAAAGCGUCUGUAGGCGGAAUGGUAAGUUGGACGUGAAAGCUCCGGGCUCAACCCGGAGAGGUCGUUCAAUACUGCCAAACUAGAGGGCAUCAGAGGAGCGUGGAAUUUCCGGUGUAGCGGUAAAAUGCGCAGAUAUCGGAAGGAACACCAAUGGCGAAGGCAGCGCUCUGGGAUGAACCUGACGCUAAGAGACGAAAGCUAGGGGAGCGAACAGGAUUAGAUACCCUAGUAGUC
Molecule: ribosomal RNA, 440 nt
Filed under: uncultured bacterium
Lineage: Bacteria
Description: partial 16S ribosomal RNA
Rfam family: Bacterial small subunit ribosomal RNA
Source: RNAcentral